GACAGAGGGUGCAAACGUUGUUCGGAAUUACUGGGCGUAAAGCGUGUGUAGGCGGUCCUAUAAGUCGGGUGUGAAAGCCCCGGGCUCAACCCGGGAAGUGCACUCGAAACUGCAGGGCUGGAGUACUGGAGAGGUUGGUGGAAUUCUCGGUGUAGAGGUGAAAUUCGUAGAUAUCGAGAGGAACACCGGCGGCGAAGGCGGCCAACUGGACAGAUACUGACGCUGAGACACGAAAGCGUGGGGAGCAAACAGG
Molecule: ribosomal RNA, 253 nt
Filed under: uncultured bacterium
Lineage: Bacteria
Also listed under: 1 other name
Description: partial 16S ribosomal RNA
Rfam family: Bacterial small subunit ribosomal RNA
Source: RNAcentral